Molecule: small RNA, 271 nt
Filed under: Dipodomys ordii (Ord's kangaroo rat)
Lineage: Eukaryota; Metazoa; Chordata; Mammalia; Rodentia; Heteromyidae
Description: Metazoan signal recognition particle RNA (ENSDORG00000025234.1)
Rfam family: Metazoan signal recognition particle RNA (bases 98-211)
Source: RNAcentral
GCUAUUACAAAUGAAGGAAACCAUGCAGCUUGUUUCUUCGGAUUGCUUGAGUCCAGAAGUUCUGGGCUGCAGUGUGCUAUGUCGGGCGUCUGCACUAAGUUCAGCAUCAAUAUGGUGACCUCCUGGAAGCAGGGGAACACCAGGUUGCCUAAGGAGGUGUGAACCCACCCAGGUCAGAAAUGGAGCAGGUCAAAACUCCCGUGCUGAUCAGAAAAAGCUUUAAAUAUAGAAAAAAAUCAAUGUAUAUAGCUAUCAUGAAUUAGAAGAAAGU